UAGGGAAUCUUCCGCAAUGGACGCAAGUCUGACGGAGCAACGCCGCGUGAGUGAAGAAGGUUUUCGGAUCGUAAAGCUCUGUUGUUAAGGAAGAACGAGUGUGAGAAUGGAAAGUUCAUACUGUGACGGUACUUAACCAGAAAGGGACGGCUAACUACGUGCCAGCAGCCGCGGUAAUACGUAGGUGGCAAGCGUUGUCCGGAUUUAUUGGGCGUAAAGCGAGCGCAGGCGGUCAAUUAAGUCUGAUGUGAAAGCCCCCGGCUCAACCGGGGAGGGUCAUUGGAAACUGGUUGACUUGAGUGCAGAAGAGGAGAGUGGAAUUCCAUGUGUAGCGGUGAAAUGCGUAGAUAUAUGGAGGAACACCAGUGGCGAAGGCGACUCUCUGGUCUGUAACUGACGCUGAGGUUCGAAAGCGUGGGUAGCAAACAGG
This 430-nucleotide ribosomal RNA is filed under the name Bacteroidota bacterium. RNAcentral's name for it is "Bacteroidetes bacterium partial 16S ribosomal RNA". It matches the Rfam family "Bacterial small subunit ribosomal RNA", at positions 355 to 776 of the family's 1533-position model. Lineage: Bacteria; Pseudomonadati; Bacteroidota. The record is from RNAcentral.